GGAAGAUAGAGAGAGAACAGUUCUGAAGCAAUAGCAAAAAAUAACAGCAGAAGCAAUUAUUUCAUCAAAGAUUCUGGGAGGAUGCCCCACUGUUGUCCUGAGAGGCUAAACACCUGGUCCCCAGCACAGCUAACUGCUUGGUAUCUCCUCUUCUCUGUCAUUGAACAAGUCAUGUUACAAGAGCACCCAAAGCUCAUCCAUGUGCAAUGCCAACCACUCCACUGCCUCGAACCAGGAUAAAAGUGGAGACUUCCUCCAUCAAGCCGCAGCUCUUUCUUUGGCUCCUUAGUUGAAACUUCCCAGAAGGACACUGGCAGUGCCUGUGGGCCAGCUGGGGGGAUCUGCGAGUGAAGUGUUCCCAGCGGAUCAUGGGCAGGCUUCUUGAUGCAGUCCAUGAAGCAGUUAAUAGGAUACAUGUCCCUUUAAUGCCCUCCAAGAGUCCCAUGUGCUGUGCUUUCCCAGACUCUUCCUGCCUGCUAGUCAUGCAGCUCACAAUUUAGUGCUCUGGAUGGGGCCAGAGAGAAAUGAGCCUCUUUGGCAGUAUCCCACACAGCUGGGGAAGCUGGGUGCUCACUUACACACUCUCACUUUCCCCAGCAAGGGAAACCAUGGGCAGAAAAGAUCUCUUUUGGCCCUAAACUGUGCCACCUUGGGUGAGAGGUGGUGCAGGUAAGCUCAAACUGUUCUUCUUACCUUCUCCAAUGUAUCCAAACUAGUAUUUUUUGCUCCAGUGAUGUACUGGAACUUCUCUUCUGGAAACCUGGACUGCCACAAAUCCUCUCUUGUCUGUGGGUGCUUGUGUAAGACAGUCUUUUCCAGGGACUCCCAGACCAUGGCCAAGAGGGGCUAGAGCUGGUUCAAAGGCCACUACAGGGUCCAUAGCCAGAGCUGAGGCCUGUAUGCCUAUUACCUGAUGCAUGGGUGGGUGAGACUCCUUCUGGUUCCCUUGGCGAAUGGUGCUGGAUUCCCUGGCUCCCAUAAGGCACUUUUGUGCAUUGAUGGAUUCUGAAUUAUUGUUGGGAGAGAGGGGAAACAAGGGAUGUUUUAUUCUGCAAUGGGUGUCACUCCUCAUCUCAUACAUUUUGAUGCGUAGUAUUCUCAUUGUCAUCCAUUUCUUAAAAAUCUCUGUAUUCUGAAAAAUUUUAAUCAUGUGCAAAAGUAGAGAGACUAGCAUAAUGAAGCCCUAGUUUUAUACCACCAAUUUCAACAAAUAUAGCCAAUUUUGGUUAUCCAUACCAUACUCCCCCAACCUUCUGGGUUACUUUAAAGUAAAACCAGAUGUAUUAUUUUAUCUUUAAGUAUUUCUAUUUGCAUCUGCAACAGAUUUGGACUCUUAAAUAAAUGUCAUCUCCAAAUGAAAAGGUAACAAUUUUUUUCCUAUCAUUUAAUAGGUAGUCAGUGUUUAGAUUUCUUCACUUAUUUCAUGAAUACCUUUUUAUAAUUGGUUUGCUUGAAUCAGCAGCCAAAUAAGGCUCUUACAUGGUAUUUGGUUGAUAUGUCUCUUUCAGUUUUUAUGAGUUUUCCUCUUUCUUGUUCUCUGUUUUUACUUUUUUUGGUCAAGAAAUGGGCAUUUGUUCUGUAAAAUGGCUGACUGUAUCCCCAUGGUGUUGUUUAAUGUGUUCAUCUACCCCUGUAUUUCCUGUGUACUGGUGGUUACAACUAAAGGCUUGAUCAGAUUCAGGUUUGAGUUUAAUAUUUUUGGCAAGAAUCUCUCAUAGGUGUUGCUGUGCACUUCCCAUUAUAUAAUAUCAAGAGACUCAUAAUGUCUGAUUGUUUCUCUUCUUGUGAUAGUAAGAUUGAUCAGUGGGCUCAACUGUUUUGAGCCUGAUCCAUCAUCAUAAGAUUCCUUGUCAGUCUUAUCUACUGGUUUUAGUAGCUAUCCAUAAUUAUUGCCCGGAUACAUUAUUUCAUUAGGAGUUGAAAAGUUUUGAGUUUCAAUUCUAUUAUUUCUUUAUACCAACUAAAUGUUUACCCUGAAAUAAAUUUCAUAGAAAAUGGCAGGAUAAAUUUUUUAGUCUUUUACUUACCAUUUAUCAGAAUGGGUUGAUGCUCUAGAAACCUCUAUAAGUGACCACUUUUAAAGUAUUACUUCAAGUGCAUAGAUUUUAAUGUAUUUGAUAUGUUUCAACCCAUUGUAGCCAUGAUUUUUUCCCGUGUUCACAUUAUCUGUCCCAUCUUUGGCCAGUGGGAGGCACUUUGUAUUGAUCCUAGGUCCUUUUCACAUGAUCCUGUAGUCUUUGAUAGCUUUCUUGUUUUCUGGUACAGAAAAGAUUUCCCAGGCAUAUCUUCGACAAUUCCUGUCUCAGAUCUGACAUCUGUCAUUUCUUUAGGAAGUUCUGGUUUUUCUUAGUGGGAACUAUUGUUAAUUUCUAAAUAGUCUGUAAUUUUAUCCUUAGUUGUUGAGUUAUUCAUGAGAGUGUUUUGAAAUUUCUAAGUGGUUAGUUUUUGACUUUGCUUUUGUUGUUAAUUUAUUUUAUUUUCCUGUAACCAGAGAAUGUAACUGUAUGAUUUUCUUUAUGACUUACCACUGG
Molecule: long non-coding RNA, 2531 nt
Organism: Equus asinus (donkey)
Lineage: Eukaryota; Metazoa; Chordata; Mammalia; Perissodactyla; Equidae
Source: Ensembl